GUGAUACUCCUUCCGUCGCAUAAUUCUCGUUGAAAUAUUACAUGUAUCUAGACGUUUUUUAGAAAUAAAUACAUUCAUUUUUGGACAAAUUUGAGACAAGAAUUAUGGGACGGAGGGAGUACAUG
Non-coding RNA from Brachypodium distachyon (stiff brome), 125 nucleotides. Lineage: Eukaryota; Viridiplantae; Streptophyta; Magnoliopsida; Poales; Poaceae. The record is from Rfam.